Molecule: long non-coding RNA, 1585 nt
Organism: Cyprinus carpio carpio
Lineage: Eukaryota; Metazoa; Chordata; Actinopteri; Cypriniformes; Cyprinidae
Source: Ensembl
CUAUAUGAGACAGAGACCAUUUUUAAUCGUAUAAAUACUGGGAACUAUAUUCUCACUAGGCGUAGGAGCACAGCUAAUGUUACUUGGGCGGAGUGGCUACUUGGGCGGAGUGAUUAGCGCAGCACACGAGACGCCCUGUUGAUGGUUCCGUAAACAAAACAAACGUGACUAACUAGCUAGACGUGACUCCUGAUAAUGGCUGACUUUGAGGAAUUGUCAGACUCAGAGGAAUUUUACUGUGUAUCAAACCAAGAUCCAGAACCAUAUAGUUUUGAGCCAGAAUACACGGACGAGGAGUUACAAACUUUGGAAGCUGUAAGACAAGAUGCCGAACAGAUUGAUGUCGAAGGGAGAAUCAGAACGAACACGGACUGGUGGUGUAAAUGUGGAACAUGCCAACCUAUGCCGACAGAAACCGAGUGCCUUUGUUGUAAUUAAUGGGACCGGGUAUUGCCAUCAAUGUCAAGGCUUGAUGACAAUCAAAAUAUUUGCGUCACUACCACGGAAGAUUUCUCUGCCCUAAUACACCUGGCAGUUGUCAUUUUUUUUUCCCAUUGUGACAAGAUCAACUGGAAGAAACGCCCCAUGCCAAGUGAACCUAAUGGUCAGCUGUCCACCAAUUCCUUGGGGAGAUUUAACAAUGAUGUCUGGGUCAUUUGUACAGCAUUGCUUAAGCUGUAUAGGCUUUGUCAUUGUUUAAUGAUAUUGAAACCACAACAGUGAAACAGUGAAAACAUCUUAAGCAUAAAGUGACUAAAUCACAAGGAAUUAGGACAUGACCCAGGCUGGAUUCUGAGUUCCUGUGAUUCAACACCUCUACUUAGACUUUCUGCUAUUCAUUAAAUUGCAGCUUUCCUUUUUUCCCACUUUUUCUCCAAGUGUAUGCCCAUCAUCUACUGUUGCUUUGUAAUUUACUUGUUCAUAAGUACCAGUCCCCCUGUAAUUCAGACAUCCUUGCAAACUUGUAAUUCAUUGUCAUGCAACAUAAUUUGAAAACAUGAUUUCUGACUACAUUGUGUUAGUUUCAUUUCAGUGUGCAUGUAAAAUGUCUGUGUUACACAACGUGUUGAUAAAUGGAUGCACACCACAAAUCUUCAGUUACUGUGGUAUAAGUGAAAAUUUCAGACUGAUCAAAUGACACACAAUGAUCACAAUGCACCUUGACUUUCCCAUGCUCCUCACUUACAAAUACAGUUUAAUGAGCUCUCUCGCUCCCAUUGUUUGCCUUUUCUUUGCGUAUUCAAAGAAAAGCAGUUUUCUGUCAAUUCCACAUCUCAAAACGUGAGCUGUUUUUCUAAAGGAUGUUUUUCCAAUAGACUCUAUACUUGUACUGCAAUAACUGUUGAUUGCCACUAUUAAACUAACUGGAUAAUGCAUACUGACUGUACAUGUGGGUUCCAGUAUCCAGAUAAUGAUAAAAUGUGAUGUAUGUGUUGGUUCUAUUCUCGACUACAUUGUAUGUUCCUUGGGAAAUUCCCACUGGCUUUAUAGGCAGUAUGGGAAUCUGGAGCUUAGUGAUCAGCUCAGAACUCAAUGAUUUACAUCAAAUUUAACUAAAAUGCUGAAGCAUUUUCACACACUAAAU